CAGCUCUCCGAGUGGUGGGGAUGUUUAUUGGGCCUAAAGCAUUCGUAGCCUGCUUGGCAAGUCCUCCGUUAAAUCCAACGAUUCAAUCGUUGGGCUGCGGGGGAUACUGUCCAGCUAGGGGGCGGGAGAGGCCGACGGUAUCCUCGGGGUAGGGGUGAAAUCCUAUAAUCCCGGGAGGACCACCAGUGGCGAAGGCUGUCGGCUAGAACGCGCCCGACGGUGAGGGAUGAAAGCUGGGGUAGCGAACCGGAUUAGAUACCCGAGUAGUCC
RNAcentral lists this ribosomal RNA (270 nucleotides) under uncultured archaeon. Its description in RNAcentral is "partial 16S ribosomal RNA". It matches the Rfam family "Archaeal small subunit ribosomal RNA", at positions 477 to 747 of the family's 1478-position model. The record is from RNAcentral.